This 552-nucleotide ribosomal RNA is filed under the name uncultured bacterium. Its description in RNAcentral is "bacterial SSU rRNA". It matches the Rfam family "Bacterial small subunit ribosomal RNA", at positions 776 to 1319 of the family's 1533-position model. The record is from RNAcentral.
GAAAUAGAUACCCCGGGUAGUCCACGCCGUAAACGUUGGGCGCUAGGUGUGGGGGUCCCUUACCGACGACCUCUGGGUGCCGGCAGCUAACGCAUUAAAGCGCCCCGCCUGGGGAGUACGGCCGCAAGGCUAAAACUCAAAGGAAUUGACGGGGGCCCGCAUAAGCGGCGGAGCAUGCGGAUUAAUUCGAUGCAACGCGAAGAACCUUACCAAGGCUUGACAUGUACAGGAAAGUUCCAGAGAUGGUUCCCCCGCAAGGUCUGUACACAGGUGGUGCAUGGUUGUCGUCAGCUCGUGUCGUGAGAUGUUGGGUUAAGUCCCGCAACGAGCGCAACCCUCGCCUUAUGUUGCCAGCACGUAAUGGUGGGAACUCAUAAGAGACUGCCGGGGUCAACUCGGAGGAAGGUGGGGAUGACGUCAAAUCAUCAUGCCCCUUAUGUCUUGGGCUUCACGCAUGCUACAAUGGCCGGUACAAUGGGCUGCAAUACCGCGAGGUGGAGCGAAUCCCAAAAAGCCGGUCUCAGUUCGGAUUGGGGUCUGCAACUCGACCCG